CAUGGGUUGGAGUCCGAUGGGUUCCAGUCCGAGAACGCUUUAGAAGGAGAUAGGGAUGAUGACUUGAUCCAGUUGCAUAAAGCAAUGACUCCUCGAUUGGUAGAUAAGGUUGCAGCCGAAGAAGAGCAAGUUGGCAGCAGCAGUAGCAAGAAGAAGAGUUGGAGGAGGCGAAGGUGGCAGAGGAGGAGGUGGAGGCAUGGGGAUGAUGGAGUGAGGUGCUGCCUCGACCUCGGCAUCAUCAACUCCUCGGCUUCAAUUCCC
This 261-nucleotide long non-coding RNA is filed under the name Phoenix dactylifera (date palm). RNAcentral describes it as "long non-coding RNA (PDAC_LNC006266)". The record is from RNAcentral. Lineage: Eukaryota; Viridiplantae; Streptophyta; Magnoliopsida; Arecales; Arecaceae.